CUGUAAAACUCAAUGCAUCUUUUAACAUCUAACAUAUGAAUUAAGUAUGACAGAUUAUAUUGUCUAUUAUUGUCCUAAUGUAAAUUUACAAAUUAUAAAUUUCAAUUUUUAAAUUGAUUUAUUACUUAAGUAUCUAUGACAAAUUCUUUUUUAAGAACGAUCGAUUAUAUAAUUUACUUUUUCCGUGUACCGUAACACAUAAAUAGUGAUAGUGUCACUUUAAUACCUGUGGGACGUUCAUUUGUAUAACUGAUAAAAUAGGUCAAGUUAUUUUCACCCGGUGACGAUUUGGGUAUAAAUUGAGCGUUUUCUCAUCAGAAUGAACAUUCACAAUCUUAAGCUAAUACACAAACAGACACACACACAGUGGAAAUUAUUUUGACAUUGCGAUACACUUAGGUAAAGACCACGUAUAAAAUGGCGGAUAAGAAGGAUACUAGCGCGUUACUACCCGUAGCCAUGGCAACGCUUUUCCAAAGCGGUUGUUUCUUGGGUGUCGGAUUAUUACGUCCAGCGUUAAAGUUUCUACCAAAGGAUCCAGUGACGUUGAUAGGAACCGUGUACGGAUUGGCGGCGGUGGACAUGAUCGCGUAUUUCUACUAUAAGAAUGGACAGAACAAAAAACAUGAGUGAUCUACCUGCUCACGAAAUACUUUUAAACUGAUCACAUACUACUGCAAUGACAUAGGAUUUCAUCGAAUGUACUCCGUAGUUCAUAGUUAUCAUGAUAUCAAACGUUAUUUAUAUGAAAGAAUGUACUGAUUUGUAGUAAACUAUCGCAGGUUCACUGUAUAAUUAUCAAAAUAGUAUGCAAUAAAUAAAAAGCGACAAGUGUCGUUUUUCAGAUUAUUGAAUUAUGUGUUAAUCUUAACGACACUCAUGUGACAAUUUAUUGUAAUGUUACAUUGUUCUAUGAUCCUUCUUGUAAAAGAUAUAAUGUACACAUAACUGGAAGUACAUUUAUUAAAUAGGUACGAUUCAAAGAUAUAAUUAUGUGAAUUUUGAAUAAAUGACUUAGAAAAUA
Long non-coding RNA from Mya arenaria, 1024 nucleotides. RefSeq lists it as uncharacterized. The transcript is spliced from 2 exons. Lineage: Eukaryota; Metazoa; Mollusca; Bivalvia; Myida; Myidae. The record is from RefSeq and is a predicted model, not a curated record.